CGUGUUGCAAUGCUUCCGCUUCAGCAUGUGUCAAUGGCCUGUGUCCACCUGGCUUCCAAGAUAGAAGAGGCCCCAAGACGCAUACGGGACGUCAUCAAUGUGUUUCACCGCCUUCGACAGCUGAGAGAGAAAAAGAAGCCCGUGCCUCUACUACUGGAUCAAGAUUAUGUUAAUUUAAAGAACCAAAUUAUAAAGGCGGAAAGACGAGUUCUCAAAGAGUUGGGUUUCUGCGUCCAUGUGAAGCAUCCUCAUAAGAUAAUCGUUAUGUACCUUCAGGUGUUAGAGUGUGAGCGUAACCAACACCUGGUCCAGACCUCAUGGGUAGCCUCUGAGGGUAAGUGACUAAGACUUCUCCUCUGCUGUCCAAGCGCUUUGGUGCAGGGACAGCGGCGUCUUCAGCCAAUCCAGUGCAGGCUCUCCACCGAAGGCUGGCUCUAGACUGGUGUUGGCAGCGGCUCUGGUGAGCCCGAGAAGAGGCCUGCCCUUGGGUGCGGAGUCUCCCUCCGCACGAUGCUCCCACGCGUCCAACUUGCACCCAAGGGGCUUUUCCCUCUUCCAAGUGGACUCCUUCAAGGAAGCUGCAGCUCGGUCAGCAGAGAAGGGGCCUGCCGCCAGCGCCCUGGAGGAAGAGGAAGAGGAACCCAAGAGGAUGGCUUGUCUCCCAGCAGCCACACCGGCUUUGUGCUCAGCCAGUUCAUUUGAGUUUGCAUGUUUCUCUGCACUAUGGAUUUUGAGCAUUUAGAUUUCUUUAAUCAAAAGCGUUUUAGUGACUCCAGUAGACAUUUUCUUUCUGAGGCAUCGUGCUUUGCAUGAGAGCAGGCCAAGGUUGAGGGGAAAAGUAAAGUU
RNAcentral lists this small RNA (846 nucleotides) under Pan troglodytes (chimpanzee). RNAcentral describes it as "processed transcript". The record is from RNAcentral. Lineage: Eukaryota; Metazoa; Chordata; Mammalia; Primates; Hominidae.